This 30-nucleotide non-coding RNA is filed under the name Rattus norvegicus (Norway rat). Lineage: Eukaryota; Metazoa; Chordata; Mammalia; Rodentia; Muridae. The record is from RNAcentral.
UUCUCAGAGAAAAGUGGGUCUCAUUUCAGC